GCCGGCCGAAGCCCGGGCCUCUCUCCCUCCGCCCCCUGAGGAGCGCGCGCCCCGAGCAGGGAAGAAAUUUCUACCAGGAUUCACGGAGGAGGAGAGCAUUGUGUGAGCACACUGGCGAGAGAACCUGGCCUCUGCCUCACACACAGCCAGGCCCUGAGCUCAGCACCCGGGAGGACCCCGCUGCCGCCUCUUCCCGGGCGGCUGUCAGCUGCCAGGGUACAGGUACACUGCUCCCCUUGACAGGUGUGGGUUUGCCUUUUGCGAACAGCCUGGUCUUGUAUCGGCUGCCAAGGUUCUCCUUUUGGAAAGAAAGCCUGGCUGUGCUCUGGGAGGCCUGUCUGUGGGCUCCGCUCAGAGGAGCGCAGCUGAGCUGAGCUGAGCCCCGCCGCAUCCUGUGCUGCCCCUGCCCUUCAGCCCUGCGGGCACCUGGACGCCACCUGGCCAGGACACAUGGCAGGAGCUCCACUGCCUCCUCUCCUCUCCUCCACAGGGGAGGUGUGGGGAAAGCAGUCAAGCCCGCGGUGAUUGUGAGGGGCUCUGCUGGAAUUUGGCAGUGCGAAGCCUUGGAGCGCAGCCCCAUGCUGGCUCCUAUUCAGCGGCCGGUUCCCCUCCAGCUCUGGAAGUUUCACUCAGCCGUGCACUCAAUGGCUCCACAAAGCUGAUUACAAGCUUCAGCGCAUUCCUGAAGGAGCCAAAGCGACGCAGGUGCAAACGAGCCGAGGGAGCCCCUUAUCCCGGUGACAGAAUGGGACAAGCUGGGAAAGGCGCGGACCACACAAAUCCAGGCUCACCAGGCAGCAGAAAGCCUGCCUUGGGAACCGGGGUCUUCGU
This is a long non-coding RNA of Fukomys damarensis (Damara mole-rat), 831 nucleotides long. RefSeq lists it as uncharacterized. The transcript is spliced from 3 exons. The record is from RefSeq and is a predicted model, not a curated record. Lineage: Eukaryota; Metazoa; Chordata; Mammalia; Rodentia; Bathyergidae.